Molecule: long non-coding RNA, 1640 nt
Organism: Cavia porcellus (domestic guinea pig)
Lineage: Eukaryota; Metazoa; Chordata; Mammalia; Rodentia; Caviidae
Exons: 2
Source: RefSeq, a predicted model, not a curated record
AAAACUCCCAAAGUCACUUUCUGUGUUCCUGGCAUGAUAUCACAUUCCUCCCCUUCAGCCACCUGACUUGCAUUCCACUGAAAUCACUCUAAGGAUUUGCUAGAUCGUUCCAGAAAAUGUACUAAAAGUCGAUGAUAAGGAAAUCCAAGCCAGAUGUGGGGGCUCGCCUGCGUGCCCAGCACUUGGGAGGCUGAGACGGGAGAAUUGCUGUGAGUUCCAGUCUGGGCUACAUAGUGAGUCAAGGCCAGCCUGAACCACAAAGUGAGGCCCUGUCUUAAACAACCAACCAACCAACCUAAAGGAAAUCCGAUCGCAAAUUCCUAAAAGGAAGCUGAUAUUGCCAAAAUGGAGUAAAAAAGAAGUGUCCUGAUCAGUUUACCAAUUGAAAAAGGAAAUGCAUUAUGAUAUAGGCUACCAUUCUUUGCUGUAAGUUUCUCGGUUCAGCUCAAAUGAAGUCUCAGGCUCCUCCUACAUCCCAGUACCUAGGUGGGCAAAGCCAGCAGAAUGACCUAGAUUGGUGAGAAGAAGUCUCUUUGGCAUCUCUGGGCUCUCUGAUGUGAGUUUAAUGCUCAGUAUCCAACCAGCCAAUCCUCUGUCCAACCUGCAGACAGAAACUAGGUCUAAAUUGUCUACUGCAUGGGUUCAGGAACAAUUUCCAUCUGGGCCUCUCUUUUCUUCAUAUGGAAAGCACCUACUGCCACGUGACUGUUGAGAGCAGGAAUUCCAAGGCUUUGGCUAUAUGACGUCGUGAUGUCUCUGGAGGAAAAUUAGAAUCAAGAGACUUGAAUUUGAGUCCCAUAUCUGUUGGUUACCAACUGAGGGUCACCUGGAUUUUCCUAUAAAACAUUAACAACAAAUAAUACAUACUUCAUGAGGAUGAUUGUGGGAUUAAAGAAACUGAUGACAACCUCAGCCGAAGAAUGCAAAGCCGCCAGAAACUGGGGAGGUAUAAAUGAGUAAAGCAGUACAAGAAAUACUUAGGCUAAUUUGGAGCCAGUGACGCAGCCUUUGACAAAUUUGUGAUUUUCUGUCCUGCUAAAGAGGCAGCUGUUCUAUUCAGCUUCAGCCAGUUUUUGCAUUGGAAAAAAUGCAGACCUGGUGUUGCCAGAUUUUUGGGGAAGCUGGAAAUCCGGACUUUUAUGUGAAACCUCCCAAUUUUUAGUUUUUGGCAAUUAAUUCAGAUUUAAAGGAUUGCGUAGCCAAAGAAAACACAUCUGCAGGCCACAUACACUCCAGGAAGCCUCUCGCUGUGACUUCUGAUAUAUGUGAACAUGUUUGUAAUAGAACCCACCUCAUUAUAAGUAUGCCAUAAAUAUUUGCCUCAUCUUUCCUUGUGAUAACCAACAUGAGAAAAGAAAAAUAAUUGAUUUGAGGUUUUUGGAAAGUUAUCACAUUACUUACUCUUAAGGAUCUGAUUUGUUAUGUAAGUCGUGUACUAACUUGUUUAGCCUUAUCCACUGUUAUGUUAAAAUACUUAACUUGGAUAUAGAUUGUACUUUGGAAAAUUUAAUUGGGUCCUCCGAUUUUGUAGCAGAAGUUUAAGGUUUGUUAGAAGACAUAUACUUAAAAUAUAGACAGUUCUGCAUCACAGCAAGGAAACUACAUUUUUUUCAAUUUUCAAAAAAAUUAAGCAAAAGCUA